AUUGAACGCUGGCGGCAGGCCUAACACAUGCAAGUCGAGCGGAUGAAGGGAGCUUGCUCCUGGAUUCAGCGGCGGACGGGUGAGUAAUGCCUAGGAAUCUGCCUGGUAGUGGGGGAUAACGUCCGGAAACGGGCGCUAAUACCGCAUACGGCCUGAGGGAGAAAGUGGGGGAUCUUCGGACCUCACGCUAUCAGAUGAGGCUAGGUCGGAUUAGCUAGUUGGUGGGGUAAAGGCCUACCAAGGCGACGAUCCGUAACUGGUCUGAGAGGAUGAUCAGUCACACUGGAACUGAGACACGGUCCAGACUCCUACGGGAGGCAGCAGUGGGGAAUAUUGGACAAUGGGCGAAAGCCUGAUCCAGCCAUGCCGCGUGUGAGAAGAAGGUCUUCGGAUUGUAAAGCACUUUAAGUUGGGAGGAAGGGCAGUAAGUUAAUACCUUGCUGUUUUGACGUUACCAACAGAAUAAGCACCGGCUAACUUCGUG
This 484-nucleotide ribosomal RNA is filed under the name uncultured bacterium. RNAcentral's name for it is "partial 16S ribosomal RNA". It matches the Rfam family "Bacterial small subunit ribosomal RNA", at positions 30 to 507 of the family's 1533-position model. The record is from RNAcentral.